RNAcentral lists this ribosomal RNA (405 nucleotides) under uncultured bacterium. Its description in RNAcentral is "partial 16S ribosomal RNA". It matches the Rfam family "Bacterial small subunit ribosomal RNA", at positions 30 to 526 of the family's 1533-position model. The record is from RNAcentral.
AUUGAACGCUAGCGGGAUGCUUUAACAAUGAAAGUCGACCGAGGGGCGGAGGGGUGAGUAAUAUAUGGAAACGUGCCCAGUGGCGGGGGAUAACUACUGGAAAGAGUGGCAAUACCGGCUAACUAUUGGAGGGGCCGAUACGGGAUUAGCUAGUUGGGGGGGUAAAGGCUCACCAAGGCAACGAUCCGUAGCUGGUUUGAGAGGACGACCAGCCACACUGGGACUGAGACACGGCCCAGACUCCUACGGGAGGCAGCAGUGGGGAAUUUUGGACAAUGGGGGAAACCCUGAUCCAGCCAUCCCGCGUGUAUGAGAAGGCCUUCGGGUUGUAAAGUACUUUUGGCAGAGAAGCGGUAUCUGCAGAAUAAGCACCGGCUAACUACGUGCCAGCAGCCGCGGUAAUUC